ACGUACACCCUCGGGCUCAACCAGUUCUCCGACCUCACCAACGAAGAGUUCGUGGAGAAGCACCUCGGGUACCGUCACCAGCCGGGCGGGCUCCGUCCCGAGGACACGCCGGUGGCCGCGGUGAACAUGUCCAAGGCUCAGUUCCAGUCCACGCCGGACAGCUUGGACUGGAGGGCCCAGGGCGCCGUCACCCAAGUCAAGAACCAAGCCCCAUGUGGGAGUUGCUGGGCGUUCGCGGCGGUGGCGGCGACCGAGGGGCUCGUACAGAUCGCCACCGGCAACCUCAUCUCCAUGUCAGAGCAGCAGGUGCUCGACUGCACGGGCGACACUAGCACCUGCAAGGGUGGCUCCGUCAUCGCCGCCCUACGUUACGUCGCCGCAAGCGGCGGCCUGCAGCCGGAGGCAGCCUACGCAUAUACCGGCCAGCAGGGCGCGUGCCGCAGCGUCAUGCCAAAUUCGGCCGCCUCCGUUGGCGCCCCCCGCUGGGUGGGCCUGAACGGCGAUGAGGACGCGUUGCGGGAGCUGGCUGCCAGCCAACUGGUGGCCGUGGGCGUGGAGGCGGACCCUGACUUUCAGCACUACAAGAGCGGCGUGUUCGUCGGUAGUUCGUCGUGCGGGCAAAACCUGAACCACGCCGUGACGGUGGUGGGGUACGGGGCGGACGGCGGCGGGCAGGAGUACUGGUUGGUGAAGAACCAGUGGGGGACGGGGUGGGGUGAGGGGGGCUAUAUGCGCCUCACGCGCGGGAACGGCGGAAACUGCGGCAUGGCCACCGUUGCCUACUAUCCGACCGUGGACAGCUCUUAA
Molecule: ribosomal RNA, 807 nt
Filed under: Triticum aestivum (bread wheat)
Lineage: Eukaryota; Viridiplantae; Streptophyta; Magnoliopsida; Poales; Poaceae
Description: partial small subunit ribosomal RNA
Source: RNAcentral